GCCUAACACAUGCAAGUCGAGCGGUAGCACAGAGAGCUUGCUCUCGGGUGACGAGCGGCGGACGGGUGAGUAAUGUCUGGGAAACUGCCUGAUGGAGGGGGAUAACUACUGGAAACGGUAGCUAAUACCGCAUAACGUCGCAAGACCAAAGAGGGGGACCUUCGGGCCUCUUGCCAUCAGAUGUGCCCAGAUGGGAUUAGCUAGUAGGUGGGGUAANGGCUCACCUAGGCGACGAUCCCUAGCUGGUCUGAGAGGAUGACCAGCCACACUGGAACUGAGACACGGUCCAGACUCCUACGGGAGGCAGCAGUGGGGAAUAUUGCACAAUGGGCGCAAGCCUGAUGCAGCCAUGCCGCGUGUAUGAAGAAGGCCUUCGGGUUGUAAAGUACUUUCAGCGAGGAGGAAGGCAUUGUGGUUAAUAACCACAGUGAUUGACGUUACUCGCAGAAGA
Molecule: ribosomal RNA, 451 nt
Filed under: soil bacterium S86M1
Lineage: Bacteria
Description: bacterial SSU rRNA
Rfam family: Bacterial small subunit ribosomal RNA
Source: RNAcentral